AUUGAACGCUGGCGGCAUGCUUUACACAUGCAAGUCGAACGGUAACAGGCCGCAAGGUGCUGACGAGUGGCGAACGGGUGAGUAAUGCAUCGGAACGUGCCCAGUCGUGGGGGAUAACUACUCGAAAGAGUAGCUAAUACCGCAUACGAUCUAUGGAUGAAAGCGGGGGACCGUGAGGCCUCGCGCGAUUGGAGCGGCCGAUGUCAGAUUAGGUAGUUGGUGGGGUAAAGGCUCACCAAGCCAACGAUCUGUAGCUGGUCUGAGAGGACGACCAGCCACACUGGGACUGAGACACGGCCCAGACUCCUACGGGAGGCAGCAGUGGGGAAUUUUGGACAAUGGGCGCAAGCCUGAUCCAGCAAUGCCGCGUGCAGGAAGAAGGCCUUCGGGUUGUAAACUGCUUUUGUACGGAACGAAACGGCUCUGGUUAAUACCCGGGGCUAAUGACGGUACCGUAAGAAUAAGCACCGGCUAACUACGUG
This 482-nucleotide ribosomal RNA is filed under the name uncultured bacterium. RNAcentral's name for it is "partial 16S ribosomal RNA". It matches the Rfam family "Bacterial small subunit ribosomal RNA", at positions 30 to 507 of the family's 1533-position model. The record is from RNAcentral.